RNAcentral lists this ribosomal RNA (515 nucleotides) under uncultured bacterium. RNAcentral's name for it is "partial 16S ribosomal RNA". It matches the Rfam family "Bacterial small subunit ribosomal RNA", at positions 28 to 523 of the family's 1533-position model. The record is from RNAcentral.
GAUGAACGCUGGCGGCGUGCCUAAUACAUGCAAGUCGAGCGCAUGGAUAGAGAGCUUGCUCUUAUGAAGUUAGCGGCGGACGGGUGAGUAACACGUGGGUAACCUGCCCAUAAGACUGGGAUAACUACGGGAAACCGGGGUUAAUACCGGAGUACAGUUUGAACCGCAUGGUUCGAAAGUGAAAGGCGGCUUCGGCUGUCACUUAUGCAUGGAACCGCGUCGCAUGAGCGAGUUGGUGAGGUAACGGGUCACCAAGGCAACGAUGCGUAGCCGACCUGAGAGGGUGAUCGGCCACACUGGGACUGAGACACGGCCCAGACUCCUACGGGAGGCAGCAGUAGGGAAUCUUCCGCAAUGGACGAAAGUCUGACGGAGCAACGACGCGUAAGUGAUGAAGGCUUUCGGGUCGUAAAACUCUGUUGUUAGGGAAGAACAAGUGCUAGUUGAAUAAGCUGGCACCUUGACGGUACCUAACCAGAAAGCCACGGCUAACUACGUGCCAGCAGCCGCAGUAA